This 252-nucleotide ribosomal RNA is filed under the name uncultured bacterium. RNAcentral describes it as "partial 16S ribosomal RNA". It matches the Rfam family "Bacterial small subunit ribosomal RNA", at positions 524 to 776 of the family's 1533-position model. The record is from RNAcentral.
UACGGAGGGGCAAGCGUUGUUCGGAGUCACUGGGCGUAAAGCGCACGUAGGUGGAUUAGCAAGUCAGGAGUUAAAGGCAACGGCUCAACCGUUGUAAGGCUUUUGAAACUGCUAGUCUAGAGUAUCAGAGAGGAAUGCGGAAUUUCCGGUGUAGCGGUGAAAUGCGUAGAUAUCGGAAGGAACACCAGUUGCGAAGGCGGCAUUCUGGCUGAUAACUGACACUGAGGUGCGAGAGCGUGGGUAGCAAACAGG